UUUGACAGUCGCUCAUGGCCUUUAAAUCGUGAAGUGCACAGUGUACUCAAGUGCCAUAAAUUAACCCAAGUAGCGAGGAGGUAUGGCGAUCAUUGCACAUUAUAGUCACCCUGAUAUACUAUUAUGAAGACAUGGAAGUACAACCAAGUUCCAAACCCGGAGUUUUGUACUAUAAGACCAAUCAUCAAUAUGACAACUGUUCAAUUAUUGCUGAAGCCUGCAGUGGAAAUGCUAACAAUGUGGACUAUGCCUACUCAUGGGAUAACAGAUAUAUAUCAAGCAAUCAACAAGGAUAAACUGACAGACAUAGCCUAAAUGACUUAAGAAGCUCCAGAAUGAAUGAUGUUAGUUCAAGCAUGGUUUUAGAAAUUGGUUCAAGCUCCAUCUACUGAUCAUUCAGGAAGUGCUCCAAGUACAAAGUCAGGAUUCAUAUAAAGCAUCUCAACUAUCUGA
Asterias rubens (European starfish) is the source of this 453-nucleotide long non-coding RNA. RefSeq lists it as uncharacterized. Lineage: Eukaryota; Metazoa; Echinodermata; Asteroidea; Forcipulatida; Asteriidae. The transcript has 3 exons. The record is from RefSeq and is a predicted model, not a curated record.